Molecule: unclassified non-coding RNA, 605 nt
Filed under: Hevea brasiliensis (rubber tree)
Lineage: Eukaryota; Viridiplantae; Streptophyta; Magnoliopsida; Malpighiales; Euphorbiaceae
Source: RNAcentral
CUUUUAUCAGUUUAUAAAAGGCCCAUAAAUGUCAGAUAAUGCAUGUCAUGAUAAAGAUCUGCAACAACAAAUGCCAUUCCAUGUCUCGCGGUGAAGCCGAUCCAUGAGCUGCCAGAAAAUUCAAGAUCUCCAGCAAUGCUCACCAGUUCCACAAGCAAAAAAAGAAAGAAAAGGCACUCAACAGGAAAGCGGGCCUGAAUUCCACUUUCACUUGCAAUAGACAUAAACAAUCCAACCUACCUACAAUGAUCCACAGGAUCAUGUGAGGGCGCUGCAGACUUGGUCUUCCACAUAUUGCAACAAAUGACCAACUGUAUUUGGAACCUAAAAUGCAAUCACGCAUACCCCAAUGAUUUCUCCUUAGAAACUCUGGAUACUUUCUUCUUUCCUUUUCCCAGUACAAGAAACUUGAGAAACUCAACAACUCACUUCUUUGAUUCAAUGAGUUCGGCGUCAUUGCUUCAAGCGAAGUUAUGACAAGAACCAUUAUAUCAUGCAUAAAACCAUCUAACUAAAAGAGAUAAAAAGAAGGCGGCUGCAAUAACCUAAAAAAAAAAAAGAAAAAAGAAAAACAGAAUGUGCCUGCUUCUGGCACAGAUCUUGCU